Molecule: transfer RNA, 69 nt
Filed under: Agama hispida
Lineage: Eukaryota; Metazoa; Chordata; Lepidosauria; Squamata; Agamidae
Description: Tropidurus hispidus tRNA-Ala
Source: RNAcentral
UCUAAACACAUCUCCUGAAUGCAACUCAGACGCUUUAAUUAAACUAAGGCUUCCCAGAUAGAGGGCCUC